UACGUAGGGUGCAAGCGUUGUCCGGAAUUAUUGGGCGUAAAGAGCGUGUAGGCGGCCCGAUUAGUCCGCUGUGAAAGUCCAGGGCUCAACCCUGGAAUGCCGGUGGAUACUGUCGGGCUAGAGUCCGGAAGGGGCGAGUGGAAUUCCUGGUGUAGCGGUGGAAUGCGUAGAGAUCCGGAAGAACACCGGUGGCGAAGGCGGCCUGCUGGGCAGUUGCUGACACUGAGGCGCGACAGCGUGGGGAGCAAACAGG
RNAcentral lists this ribosomal RNA (253 nucleotides) under uncultured bacterium. RNAcentral's name for it is "partial 16S ribosomal RNA". It matches the Rfam family "Bacterial small subunit ribosomal RNA", at positions 524 to 776 of the family's 1533-position model. The record is from RNAcentral.